UGAUGACGAGACGCUCAGGCGUUGAAGUGGUGUAUGUCAGACUUCCAAGAAAAGCUCGCAAUGUCAUAGAUAAAAAAUGCCUGUACCAUAACCGACACAGGUGGGUAGGUAGAGUAUACUAAGGGGCGCGAGAUAACUCUCUCUAAGGAACUCGGCAAAAUGACUCCGUAACUUCGGGAGAGGGAGUGCCUUAUUUAUAAGGUUGCAAUAACAAGAUCCAAGCAACUGUUUAUCAAAAACACAGGUCUCCGCUAAGUCGUAAGACGAUGUAUGGGGGCUGACGCCUGCCCAGUGCCAGAAGGUUAAAGAAGUUGGUUAGUGUAAGCGAAGCUGAUAACUGAAGCCCUGGUGAACGGCGGCCGUAACAAUAACGGUCCUAAGGUAGCGAAAUUCCUUGUCGGGUAAGUUCCGACCCGCACGAAAGGCGUAAUGAUUUGGAUACUGUCUCGGAGAGAGGCUCGGUGAAAUAGACUUGUCUGUGAAGAUGCGGACUACCUGCACCAGGACAGAAAGACCCUAUGAAGCUUUACUGUAACUUGAAAUUGGAAUUGGACUUUGCUUGCGCAGUAUAGGUGGGAAGCGUUGAAGAUACUCUUGCGGGACUAUUGGAGCUAUCAGUGAGAUACCACUCUUGUAAUGUUAGAUUUCUAACUUUGAACCAUAAUCUGGUCAAAGAACAGUUUCAGGCGGGCAGUUUGACUGGGGCGGUCGCCUCCUAAAUGGUAACGGAGGCGUACAAAGGUUUCCUCUGAACGGAUAGAAAUCGUAUCUAGAGUGUAAAGGCAUAAGGAAGCUUGACUGUGAGACCUACAAGUCGAGCAGGGACGAAAGUCGGUCUUAGUGAUCUGACGGUACUGAGUGGAAAGGCCGUCACUCAACGGAUAAAAGUUACUCUAGGGAUAACAGGCUGAUCUCCCCCAAGAGUUCACAUCGACGGGGAGGUUUGGCACCUCGAUGUCGGCUCAUCGCAUCCUGGGGCGGUAGUACGUCCCAAGGGUUGGGCUGUUCGCCCAUGAAAGCGGUACGCGAGCUGGGUUCAGAACGUCGUGAGACAGUUCGGUCCAUAUCCGGUGUAGGCGUUAGAAUAUUGAGAGGAGCCUUCUUUAGUACGAGAGGACCGAGAAGGACACACCGCUGGUGUACCAGUUAUCGUGCCAACGGUAAACGCUGGGUAGCUAUGUGUGGAGAGGAUAACCGCUGAAAGCAUCUAAGUGGGGAGCCC
RNAcentral lists this ribosomal RNA (1222 nucleotides) under metagenome. Its description in RNAcentral is "bacterial LSU rRNA". It matches the Rfam family "Bacterial large subunit ribosomal RNA", at positions 1564 to 2795 of the family's 2925-position model. The record is from RNAcentral.